RNAcentral lists this ribosomal RNA (440 nucleotides) under uncultured bacterium. RNAcentral's name for it is "partial 16S ribosomal RNA". It matches the Rfam family "Bacterial small subunit ribosomal RNA", at positions 338 to 795 of the family's 1533-position model. The record is from RNAcentral.
CCUACGGGUGGCAGCAGUGGGGGAUAUUGCACAAUGGGGGGAACCCUGAUGCAGCGACGCCGCGUGAGCGAAGAAGUACCUCGGUAUGUAAAGCUCUAUCAGCAGGGAAGAAAAUGACGGUACCUGACUAAGAAGCCCCGGCUAAAUACGUGCCAGCAGCCGCGGUAAUACGUAUGGGGCAAGCGUUAUCCGGAUUUACUGGGUGUAAAGGGAGCGCAGGCGGGCUGACAAGGCUCGUGGGAAAACCCGGGGCCCAACCCCCGGCCUGCAUUGGAAACUGGCGGGCUGGAGUGUCGGAGGGGCAGGCGGAAUGCGUGGUGUAGCGGUGAAAUGCGUAGAUAUUAGGAGGAACGCCGAUGGCGAAGGCAGCCUGCUGGACGAUGACUGACGCUGAGGCUCGAAAGCGUGGGGAGCAAACAGGAUUAGAUACCCGUGUAGUC